Molecule: long non-coding RNA, 3739 nt
Organism: Equus caballus (horse)
Lineage: Eukaryota; Metazoa; Chordata; Mammalia; Perissodactyla; Equidae
Source: RefSeq, a predicted model, not a curated record
AACAUCUAAUCCCCUAAUCACAACUAUCAAUCACCCAAAAUUUGCACACAUUGAUCAUUUUUACCAAAACCUAUCACAAGCUAUGAUGAUUACAAUGAACUAUCAAUACCUAUUUCUAGGAAAUCAGACUAUCACUGCAAUACAAAUCGAGUCAAACAAACAAAUCCCAUCAUUCCAUCUUUCUAUCAUAACUGCUUAGAAAUCAUUAAAGCUCUCAAGGUACUUUUCCAAUGAGAACUCUCCAUCAGAUUUAUAAAAGUCAACCUGAACGUCCAUCAAAAUCUGCAGUUUAAGUUACCACAAUAAGACAAUUCUCAGUGUACUAUCACGCUAUCACUUGCCUUGUAAGCAUUUACGAUUAAGAUUGCCCUGGGGUUUGAGAAAUCAAAAAGAGUCAAUUAAAAACCAAAAACACUACCAACAAUUUAAUUCUUCGAAAGAACUUCAAUAAAGACCAGAAGAUAAACCUGGUUAAAGGCGAAUUAAAAAAAAAAAUUUGCAACCCGAGUCAGCGAAAAUUCUAAAAAUAUCAUCCUGAACUCAGCACGUGGACAGACCAAGUGGUAAACUGUAAUGGGCAGUCAAAAGUUCCCUUGUUAACGAUGGGCGGGCAGGGGAGGCCUGCCUUUUUAUCAAUGCAGAGAUGGAAAGCAGCAGAAGUGAAGAAAAUUCUUUAACAAAUCAUUGCGAGCUAAAUUGCCAAACUGCAAAACACCGCGUUACUCUUUAGGUUAGCCUUCCCCAAGAAGAAAAAUGAUUUUUUAAAUUUAAAUUAUUCCAGUAGGAUCCAAAGAAGGCUAAGGGCCCGGCUGGAAACAGAAAGGGAAAGUUUGGGGGCAGCACGUAAGAAGGCGGUGGAAGUUCCAGAGCCCGGAUCCCGGAGGGGGCGAGAGGGGCGAGAGCAGCGGCUGAGGCCGCCGGCUGGAGGAGGGGAGCACAGCUGCCGCUGCCGCUGCCGGUCCCGGUCCCGGUCCCGGUCCCGGAGCGAGCGUGAAAAGGAAGAGGAGGUGGCCGAGAGGAGAAUGGAAGACGCUUCAGCGCCGGACUGAGAGCCCUAGCUUCUUGCUGGAUGGAAACUGCCCUCAGCUCGUAGAGGCCACCUGCAGUUCCUUGCCAUGAAGCUUGUGUUAAUGAAAAUCACAGAACAGUAAGCAACAAGACAUGGCUGUGAAUGAAGUGGGCAAGGUGAGACAUGAGAAGCCACAAAAUCUCAAAAGUCCUCAUGAGACAAAGUGCCACAAGUAAGGUAAGUGGUCAGAAGAUAUGAAAAUUCACAAGUCAGAAAUUGGACAUAUAGGAACUAGGGGCCAAGGUAAGACUGUGAAUUCUCAGCCAAACUCUGAGGAAUAUAACCUAAGACAUCAGCAAGAGAAGAGCACAUCAAACAGGUAAUUCCUACCUCAGACAUAAAGCCUUUUAUAUACUUCCUCCUGGAACAGGAGUCAACCAUAGAGCCUAUCUAGUCCAGCAUUUUGAAUAGGAAACACACAAGUUGUAUUACUAUUGGAAAAUAGUGAAUCAGUUGUUGAAUAGAUUAGAGGAGUAUAGCUAUCAGAAAUAUGGGGAAAUCCUGACAACUGUAAAAUUAUUUUCACAUUGGACCAUUUCCCUAGAGGAGUAGUUAUAUAUAUAUACCAUUUUGUUAGUCCCGUUAUUAUAUUUUUUCUUAUGUUGCUUUAGACAGUAUUUGGUCAUUUUAUUGUUUCAUUUGGUUCUUUUAUCUAUGGAGGCUUUGUCUAAUAAACUAAGUUAUAAAUAUUUCCAGGACAGGAUUUUCUGUUGCUGCUACUAUUGUACUUUUUAAAAUAUCCCUACAGAAUUUGGGAUAAUAUACUACAUAGUAGACUUUCAAUAAAUGCUUGUUAAAAAAAUAAAUAGGAAUUACUCCCCCUUAGUAAACGGUAUUUAGUAUAAUGAAUAUUAAUAAUUCAUGAAAUUAAUGGAUGACCUUGAAAUCAUACUUGACUCUUUCAUACCCCACAUCUAUCGUGUCAGCAAAUUCUAUUAGUUCUACCUUCGCAAUACAUCUAGACUAAACACUUCUCAUCACUCACAUUGCAUUCACCCUUGUCCAAGCUCUCUUGCCUGCAGGGCCCUUAACUACAUCAGUUGGGCUAUACACUGCUCAUUACAGGAAGCACCAUCCACAGAGACUACAGGGUGAAUGAUGCUUCUUGGAGUUGUGUAGUGCAAUGAUCCUACUUGCCUGGAUUAUUGCAAAAGUCUCCUAACCUUUGUCCUCCACCAGUCUAUUCUCAACACAAUAGUCAGCUUGAUCCUACUAAACCUUAAGUCAGAUCAUGUCAUUCCUCUGAUUAAAACUCUAUUGUGGCUCUGUCUCAUUCAUGAUAAAAGAUUAAAGUCCUUGCAAGGCCCCAGAUGACAUCAUCCCACUCUUACCUCUCUAACUUUAUCUCCUCCUGCUCAUCCUACUUCUCACUCUGCUCUAGUCAUUUGGGCUUCUCACUGUUCCUCAGUUAUGCAAGGCAUGUUCCUGCCUCAGAGCAUUUGUACUUGCUCUUCCCUCUGCCUAGAAUGCUUUUCUCCUAGAUAUCCGAAUGGCUAACUCCCUCACCUCCUUCAGGUCUUUAUUCAAAUCUUACCUUCUCAGAGAGACUUUCCAUGACACCCAUAAUUCUCAUUGCAACCUCAUGCCCUAUCUGCUUUUCCACUUUAUUUUUCUCCUCAGCCCUUAUUAUCAUCUAACCCCCCAUAUGUUUUACUUAUUUAUCAUCUGUCUUUCCCCUACAGGAAUGCAAGCUCUAUGAAGGCAGAGAGCUUUGUCUCUUUUGUUUACCACCUUAUACCCUGCCCCCAGCACCUGAAACAGUAUCUGGCACAAGUUGAGAGCUUAAUAAAUACUUGCUGAAAUAAUGAAUGAGAGAUAAAGACAAACUGGCACUUAUAAACAUAAGCCACUUUCUUGUAUACACUAAGCAGAAUGAGUAACCAAUUAGUCUAAAGUCUUGAAAACAACUUGCCACUGUUAUAGGGCUCAAGAUUUUUGUAAGCCACUAUUAAUUUAUUAGAUUUAUGAUAAAGAUAAUAGGCUUGGCUUGUUUUACAAUUGGAGUAUUUUAGGUAAUAACUAUAUGAAAUUAUUUUUAAAAUAUGCAAUUCUAUAGUGAAGUAGAAUUCUAAGGAUGGAAUGGUUAAACAUUUAUUAGGAAAAAAAUUCUCACUUAAAACUUCUCUAGGAAAGGAGAAAUUGCAUUUAAAACUUUUCUAGGAAAAUUAUGGGCAAUUUAGAAGCCAUACAUUUCCAGAGAAACAGAAACCAUAGUUGGCCUAUCAAGAGAUUUCCUCUAGAACCACCUUCUACAUCAACUAGAUCCAUGCCUCAACACCAGCCAUCACUCAGAAAGAACCCCCUAAGUAUCAGGAAUACAAAUUCUUACACCACUAUGUAAUAUUUUUAAAUAGAGAAAAACAACCAAACAGUGAGGAAAUAUUUUACGAGCAAAAUAAACAGAGACAAAAAAAUACUGGGUAUCAUAAAACCAGGACAAUUUCAAAACAUAAUCCAAAGUAAAAGAUUAAUAUAACAAUGGGUUGCAAUUAUAUAAUGGACUUUCCUUGGAUACCAAAAUGCAUUAGAAAGCCCAUUUAAUUCUCAUGCCACUGUCUGGUCAUUUUAGUUCCCAUUCUACCAGAAAGUGAAAUAUCUGUGUUUUCUCACCUUGGUCUCUUUACUUCUAUGAAUUCCUGAGCUUUAGUAAAGACAAAUUCUCAAUCAGAA